UUCCAAGGUGAUCCUCUCUCCAAGGGGCCAACUAGUACCCCCAAAACCCCCCAGAAAGCUAACGACAUAGGGGAAAUUCUGGCAUGCCCAAGGUCCGUGAGGGUAAGGGAAUGUUUCUUUUUGAUCUUGGUCUGCCUACAUAU
This is a small nucleolar RNA of Pteropus vampyrus (large flying fox), 143 nucleotides long. Lineage: Eukaryota; Metazoa; Chordata; Mammalia; Chiroptera; Pteropodidae. The record is from Ensembl.